UGAAAAACGAUGACCAGGAGGAGUAGAAGUUCCCUCACAUUUAAGAGAGAAGUUCAGUUGGUGAAAGAACUUUAUGUGAUAGCUUUGAAGGUAGCCUGUGAGUUGAGUUUCUGAAAUAAAUAGUAAGAAAUUCCGUUAGCUGCGUUAAAGCAUGAAGUGGUAAGUCAAUAAACUUACAAUCAAGGUGGUACCGCGGAAUCUUAAGCAUUUCGUCCUUAUU
This 220-nucleotide non-coding RNA is filed under the name Turicibacter sp. RNAcentral's name for it is "T-box sequence". It matches the Rfam family "T-box leader". From Rfam's summary of the family: Uncharged tRNA acts as the effector for transcription antitermination of genes in the T-box leader family. The record is from RNAcentral. Lineage: Bacteria; Bacillati; Bacillota; Erysipelotrichia; Erysipelotrichales; Turicibacteraceae.